CCCCCCCCCCGCCCCUUACCCUUAUCAAGUCAUGUGACAACCAAUUGGCUGGAUACCCUUCUCAUCAUCAUUAUAUCCUACCCCCACUGAGCCCUUAAUAAUAAAAAUCUGUUAAACCAGAGAGGUGCUGUAUGGCACUAUAUUUCUUCAUUCUAUAACAACCCCCCCCCCCACGUCAUGACAAGUCAUGCGGCUCACCCUUGGUUUGAUGUACAUGUAUACCAUAUUAUACUCAUCUUCCUUUACCCAUAUGUGCUCAGAUACCCCCUGUUAUGCCCCAAAUAAUAAAAAAAACCUAAAACACAGGAGGUCCUGUAUGGCAUUAAAUAUGUCUGCAUUCUUUACACUCCCCACCCCCCCCCCGACUAUUCAUGUGACACCCCCUGUGCUCUAAUACCUUGAUACUCAUCAUCAUCCUUAUAUAUAUAUACAUGUUAUAUAUGGUAUUACAUAUUUCCGCUCCCCCGCCCCUUAUCAAGUCAUGUGACAACCAAUUCGUCCCUGUUUUCACGAAGUGACGGAUAUGAGAAAAAUCGCAUUUUUUUCAAUUUCGAGUUUUUUGCAUUUUUGGAGAUCUUUAAUUCAUAUCUCGAACCUCAACAAGUUUCAGAUCACACAAAUGCCUAAUUACGUUGCUAUGACAACAGUGCACACAUGAAAAUACCCAGAUUAAGGAUUUCUUGUUUUUACGAAGUGACGGAUAAGCAGCCAUCAAUUCGUGAAAAUAAACGAAUACGCUUUAUCACUCAAGAGUUUUUUCACGAAGUGACGGAAGGCAAAUUUUUACAGUUUGGAACAGCCGAAGACCAUGAAAUGAUGCAGUAUAUACAGUAAGCAAUGUUUCAGAGAACAAAUGAGAGAAGUCCUGGAACCAGUACACUCGCUAUUUAACAAUGCUGAUGGUCAGAUACGAUUCCAGGUUGGAUCCAGGAGCCAACAUGCUUGUCAGGUGGGUCAUUGAUAAUUCCCUGAGCACCGCAGAUGUGAUCUGAUUUGGUGACAUGACAGUUGAAUUGGUAGUGACUGGAUUUUAACAGUGUGCCCUGGUUUUGAACUGUUGAAGUAACCAAACUAGAAACAUCUUCUGAGAACUCUGACUGCGAUUCUGAUGAUGAAACUAUGUCUACACUUGUGAAAAGUAUGAAGGAAUUGGCUCUGCCUCAUGGCCUUUUAAGGCUCUCACUUAACUUUUUCUUUAGUUUCCAGCUGGGUAACUGAUGCCCGUUUUAACUUUCUUGUGAUUUUGACUUCAACAUAUUAAAGUUUAGUUCUAAUUUUGAUAGGAUUUUCAAAUCUGGUUUAAUUUUUAGAGCAGUGUAUUAUAUAAAGAAACCAUGCUGCUUGAACUAUUCUGUGCUCUUACAGUGAUAUAAUUAUGAACUCCUUCAAAUAUGUUUUAUAUAUAUACAGUCAAAUAUAAAGUUCAGAAUAGUCAUUUAUCUGCUAUCCUUGCCACAUGUUUAAAUUGCUUAUAAAUACACAUCGUCCGCAUAUUUGCAGAAGAAUUACCCUUCUUUAUUCAUUUUGUUUGGCAUGUUUUCAUUUUGCUUGGUGCCAUCUAAAAAAAAAACUGCAUAUGUCUACAUUUUUGUAAAACAGAAUGUUACUAGCUUUAUUGUGCUUAAAUGUAUUGUAUUAAUACUUCAUACUUUCUUAUAAUAACAUAACCAUACAAUUUAGACUGACAUGCAUUGUGAAACUCGAUUGUUACAGGAUAUAUUACUAGUAAGGGUGAAAAUCAUAUUAGGUUUUCAUGAAUUCAUUUUCAAAAGCCAGAUGUGUUAAUACAGACCCCCCCCCCCCUUCCAUGAGGUAAUUUUUUUUUGGUCUAUCAGGGGUGUGAGAAUUCUUAAGCUGAUUUCAGCUAUUUUUGUUUUUUAUUUUCAGCUUGAUAUCCCUUUUUGUGUACAAUAGUUUGAGGGCUCAUUCAAUUUCAUCCCCUAAAACUCUUCAGCAUUUUCAGCUCUUUAUCUUUCAUUCACACACCUGGUUUAUGCAGUUUUACAGUUGAUGUGUCGUCAUUUUAUUCCAGAAAUUUCUAAUGAAUGAUAUUCAGGAAAGAAAUAAUACAUGAUUAUUUUUAGCAGACAUUUUACAUUAGCUUGAAGUUAAAGAUACACUGCAGCACAUGUUUUUCUGUAUAUUUGUAGUAAGAAUUUAACUAAUUUGUACAUGAUCUCAAAGAUGUUACUUGCUAAAAUCGUGACAAUUUAUUGUGAAGUUUUCAGAGUUGGAACUAAGGUGUAUUUUAAUGUAUCUUUCUGUUUUUGGACUCGGGCAAUAAUUUGCUAUUAAAAAAACAAGUGUUUGAUUGGAAAAUGUUGUUUAGUACUUGACAGUGUGUAAAAAGAUUAAAUAACUCAAGGCAACUGUGUCGACUGAUUUAAUUAUGACAUUCUUUUAAAAAAAAGUGUAGUGAAUGUAAUAAGUAAUGGUGAUUAUGUUACUUCUAUUUUGAUGGAAAAGAAAUAUACCAUUUUACUUGAAUAUGUGUAUGUCAAUACAAAUAUACAUAGAGAAUACAACUUUCCUGCACCACUAGCAUUGAUUAUAUUCCAGUAUUCUUGUAAUUUAUUCAUUGGAAUGUUUUGAAUGUAGAGUAACUUAUUGAAUUUGGUAUUUGUUAGCAAUUCUGUAUUUCAAAAUGUGGCAUUCACAGACUAGGAUUGCUGAUUGUGUUAAGCAGGGCAUGAUAUACAAAUAAAUAUAUUGUUGCAUAUAUUCAAGUUUUAUUUAAUGUAUAAAAUGACAAAAUUCUGUCAAUGUGUACCUGAUAAUUCACUUCUUAUACAUUUCAAAGUGCAAUAUUAGAUUCAUUAUAAUAAUUAUGAAUGCCGUUGUGUUUGUCACUAGCGAUUAUGGUCCGAUAUAUAUUAUUGAAUUAAAAAUAUAUUUCCAUUGUUAACAUUGUAUGGAAUUGAUAUUUUAAUGAAUUUA
Long non-coding RNA from Lytechinus pictus (painted urchin), 2937 nucleotides. RefSeq lists it as uncharacterized. The record is from RefSeq and is a predicted model, not a curated record. The transcript is spliced from 3 exons. NCBI's taxonomy places the organism in Eukaryota, Metazoa, Echinodermata, Echinoidea, Temnopleuroida, Toxopneustidae.